RNAcentral lists this ribosomal RNA (428 nucleotides) under uncultured bacterium. RNAcentral describes it as "partial 16S ribosomal RNA". It matches the Rfam family "Bacterial small subunit ribosomal RNA", at positions 354 to 796 of the family's 1533-position model. The record is from RNAcentral.
GUGGGGAAUAUUGGGCAAUGGGCGCAAGCCUGACCCAGCAACGCCGCGUGAGGGAAGAAGGCUUUCGGGUUGUAAACCUCUGUCCUUGGUGACGAAACAAAUGACGGUAGCCAAGGAGGAAGCCCCGGCUAACUACGUGCCAGCAGCCGCGGUAAUACGUAGGGGGCGAGCGUUGUCCGGAAUUACUGGGCGUAAAGGGUGCGUAGGUGGCCUUUUAAGUUGGAUGUGAAAUACCCGGGCUUAACUUGGGGGGUGCAUCCAAAACUGGGAGGCUAGAGUGCAGGAGAGGAAAGCGGAAUUCCUAGUGUAGCGGUGAAAUGCGUAGAUAUUAGGAGGAACACCAGUGGCGAAGGCGGCUUUCUGGACUGUAACUGACACUGAGGCACGAAAGCGUGGGGAGCAAACAGGAUUAGAAACCCCGGUAGUCC